This 127-nucleotide small RNA is filed under the name Marmota monax (woodchuck). Lineage: Eukaryota; Metazoa; Chordata; Mammalia; Rodentia; Sciuridae. The record is from RNAcentral.
GCUGGGUGUGGUGACACAUGCCUAUAAUCCCAGUGACUAGGGAGGCUGAGGCAGGAGGAUUGCAGGUUCAAACCCAGCCUCAGCAACUUAGCGAGGCACUAAGCAACUCAGAGAGACCCUGUCUCUA